AGAAGCUCCGAGAGUUCCUCCAAUACCUACUGCACCAAAACCUCCUCCUAGAGAGGCAGGCGAAAGAUUUACUGAAGCCCGCUAACGACAACUGUUUUUACCAAAUAAGCUGCAAUAUCCAAGAUCCCUGUCACAUUCGGAAAAAAAAAUUGCUUACUAAUUUGUAUAAAUUUAAAAAUGUAUUUCUUUGUUAAUCAUUAUUGUCUUUGAACCAUUAUAAUAU
This is a long non-coding RNA of Adelges cooleyi (spruce gall adelgid), 223 nucleotides long. RefSeq lists it as uncharacterized. Lineage: Eukaryota; Metazoa; Arthropoda; Insecta; Hemiptera; Adelgidae. The record is from RefSeq and is a predicted model, not a curated record. The transcript is spliced from 3 exons.